RNAcentral lists this transfer RNA (71 nucleotides) under Nemania diffusa. RNAcentral's name for it is "tRNA-Ala". It matches the Rfam family "tRNA". Rfam says of the family: Transfer RNA (tRNA) molecules are approximately 80 nucleotides in length. Their secondary structure includes four short double-helical elements and three loops (D, anti-codon, and T loops). Further hydrogen bonds mediate the characteristic L-shaped molecular structure. tRNAs have two regions of fundamental functional importance: the anti-codon, which is responsible for specific mRNA codon recognition, and the 3' end, to which the tRNAs corresponding amino acid is attached (by aminoacyl-tRNA synthetases). tRNAs cope with the degeneracy of the genetic code in two manners: having more than one tRNA (with a specific anti-codon) for a particular amino acid; and 'wobble' base-pairing, i.e. permitting non-standard base-pairing at the 3rd anti-codon position. Lineage: Eukaryota; Fungi; Ascomycota; Sordariomycetes; Xylariales; Xylariaceae. The record is from RNAcentral.
GGGAAUAUAGUAUAAAGGUAGUACAAUAAUCCAGCAUAUUAUGAGUCUCUGUUCAACUCAGAGUAUUUCCA